CUCCAGGAGCAAUGCAAUGCCCGCACACGGAGUGCUGCUCCAGGAGCAAUGCAAUGCAAUGCCGGCACACAUUGGGGGCGGUGCCGGUUCGGCUCAGGCUGAGCUUGCUGCCCAUGUCCCGUUCCGUGCCGUUCCUCCGGCAGGUGGCAGCAGCGGGGCGGGCUGCAGGGAUGGUGUGUGUGAACGCAGGGUGUCGGUGCUUGCUGGUGCUCCCUGUCAGUGCACCAUUCCCAGCCUCAGGGCUGGGCUCCUCACUGCCAUCUCCAUAGCGGCUCCCAUCGCCCUCACCAUUAGUUACAGUGCGGCCUUUUCCUGCUGUUAACCCUGAGUCCUGCUUCACAUCUGCCCGACUUCUGGGACAGAACUGCUUCAGACAUCCCGAUGUCCUUUAUGGGGCUCCCUUAUGCUGUCUAGACCCCCCAGGAGCUUUGUAUCCAUGUCCUAUGUAGGAGGAGGUCUUGAAGGGUUGCGUCUCUUGUUUAGCAUUAAUUCCUUCUCCAAGUUUUCCUGUAUUUCCAGCUUAUUAGCCGUGCUCUUUCCUGCACUAAUUCUCAAGCAGAAAUCAGCUGUGACUCCACGCCGUGCUCUGGGAGAGCUGUGGGAGGAUGGUGUGCGUGCAGCUCGCCCUGCAGGCUCUGCAUCCAUCCCUCGCCUUUGGGAGAGCUGGGGGUGGAUUUCGUUUAGUUAGGUUUUGCCUGGCAACAGAGAUGGAAAAUGGGAUGCAGUGUAAAGUUUAGCUGGAGCCUUUGUGGGGAGGGCAGUUAGGUGGCCUCAACACGUGUAUCAGUGAGGAAUAACGUAAAUAUCCUGAUAUUACAGGUCCUACCACAGCCAAAAUGGAGUGAUAGGUGAUUUUUUGGAGGACUGUAUCUUUUGCACUGAGCAGCACGUUCUGGAGCCUCCAGCUGCAGGAGGAUGCUUGCACAGCUGCAUCGGGCACAUAGGACACAUCUCUAAGGGAUUUCAGGGAUUCCCAGCUCUGUGCAGCUCCUGAGCUUCAAGGUGAAUGAAUACCUGCCUGGGAGCUGCAGGGCUGUGCCGCUGCUUGCUGCUGCCUAAGCCAGCUCUCACAGGGCCUGCGCUGGCAAGCUCAGAGGUGCUGGGGGCUGAUCUCUCAUCUUACAGCCCUUGUUUGCCAGCUUCCCAUAUGGUGCCCUUUGUACCUGCCUGAGGAGUAUUUGUCCUGUGGGGCACAGUUAAUCUCCGUGCCUGUUGUGGUUCUGGUUUUGUGCUGAUGCUGAAGGUCGUGGAUUCGUCAGCCCUGCGAGGCGAAGUCUUCUUCUUAAAUUCUGAACUGGAAAAGCUCCAAGUGGGUACGGCUCAAGUGUGUGCCCUGUCUGGUGCAGGCAAGUGUUCAGCCCUGAGACUGGCAGCAAGGGGUUUGAAUGGCAGACUAAUAGACAUGCCCUGGGAUUUAGCAUUUUCAGCUAAUUCUGUGUGGGUGUUAUGAGUGAGUACUUGCUGUUCUCUUCCCGGCUGUCCUUAGAGCUGAGCUGACAGGAUCAGAGUUGGCUCACUGCUUCCUUGAGCCGUCUCAUCCCUCCCUCACAUGCUCUGCUGUUGGAAACUAAACUUGUGCCUCUGACCUCUCCUAGCUUGGCCCCUGCUCCUCCAACCCCUACCCCAGGGCCCUGACCCGCUCCCUGAACAUAAGAGUGAUGUCUGAGCUUCCUUGUUGAGGAUCCUCAGACCUUUCUGGCUCUGUCUAAUUGUACUCUUAUCUGUGUGACCACAGCUGCCCUGGGAGAGCUGUCAGAUGUCUGAAUGGUCACAGGUUGAGAUGGAGAUUCGUGUCAUUGCCCCCAGAGUUUGCUUUCUCAUGCAGCCUCAUAUUACGGUAAAACAGCACCCAGAGAAGGAAGCAGUGAUGUCAUUUUGAGAGCUCUAUGUCACAGGGCUGGCACAACUGAGAUAACAGGAUUGGCACAAUAGAGAUAGCAGGGCUAGGUGUGGAGGGAGGUGUUCUGCUGCCAAAUACUUCCUCUGCUGAAAACAGCACAUCUGGGAUGGGAUAUUCCAACUUUCUGGUUUGGAGAACUCAUCAGGGAGAAGCAGAAACUUGCUGUGAGGCAAAGUGGUUUUCUCCAUCUUUGGGUGAGAGUUCUAUCUCAGAAUUCAGUUUCUAAGACCUCAGCUCCCUUGGGCUUUCCAGCACUGCAGAGACUGAAGUGCCUGAAGUUGGCUUCAAACACGAUUUGAUCAAUUCUUGUCCCUGUGCUCAUGAACUGUAAUUGUGCCUUGGCCCAAGAGCCGUUAAAACUAAGCCCCAGGAGACCAUCAAGUGCUGUGUUCAGAGGAAUGUGUGGAAAUUGUCAGAACCAGAAAACAACUGUUGCUAAAGCUUUCUUUGCUGUGUGGAGAAGACCAUGCAACUGCUCUGUGGUCCAUCACCAAACCUGGCAGCCUCACCUCAGCUAUAAAUCUAAACAAGUGUGUUCAUUUCAAUUUGCUUUUCAGUUUGCACUAUAGAAAGAAGCAGGGCAGAUCAUAGAAUCGUUACAUUUGGAAAGACCACUAUGAUCAUCCAUUCCAACCAAUGUUCCCAGGAUUGGGUUAGACUGGCUCUGAGGACAUUUCUGUAAACAGAAGGUUACAGCUGUCCUUAUUGCCAUCUAUUGUCAGCUUCAGUUGGAAGCAAAGGAGAGUCUGAAGGUACAUUAGAUUGAUGUGGCUCUCUUAAGACAGAUUUCAUCUAAUUAAACCAUGGCAAAAUAUGAGGAUGUGGGGCACGCCUUUGGAAUUUGUAACUUUAUUGCGGAAAAAAAAAUCCACUAUUAACAUAUCUUACAAAGAAAGUUGCACUUUGGUGUCGGGUGAGUUUCCUCCCUCACCCCUUUCCCCUGCACAGCAAAUGGGAACCCAGAGCAGCCAGCCCCUGCCCUGUUUGGUGCAGAGAUGGUUUUCCAGCCUACACCAGUUCCAGCCAGGAUGGAGUUUUAUUUUCCACCAUGAGCUUGCCUCUCUUUGUGCCAAAAAAACAGUAGCACCCUGCCCUGCGGCGGGGGAACGAGCCUGUAGCUAAGGAGAUUGCUCUGUGCAGACAAUGCUUGAUACAAAAGCUUUGGAGCUGUGACAAUUGCCCUUCAGUUUUCAUGCAAUAAUAGGAGGAGAGAACCAACCGUCCUACCCCGUUGUACUGGGCACCCUUACAAUAAACAGACACAAGGCCAAAGCCAACAGCUGAACCCAAACUGCACGGCAGCUACUUGUCAGCCUUUUGGAAGGAGGAACUGCUGCCUUCCUUGGUUCAUCCAUUUGACCACUUCUGCUCCAUUUCUGGGCUUUGCAGAUCAUUUGAAGGGGAAUUUUGCCUUUCCCUGCUAAGAAGAAUAGUAACAGCACUGGAAAAAGAUAGAUACUUUUGGUAGUGAGUCUUGUUAUCCAUUGUCUGUGGGCUCUGUGAGCACUGCUACUGAAGAAGGAGAAACAGAGGCUUCUAAGAGCAGAGCAGGAGAUACCUGUAUGUAACUUCUAGCCCUUGCUGUGUCCCAAGGGAACAGCUUAGUCAGAAAUCCAAUGCUCUUGAGUGGGUAUGUGCUUCUCUUUACCCGCAAUCAAAUGUGAAUUAGAAGACAGGAGCCAGUAUUCAUGACAUGAAAACUUCCGUGCCAUACACUAUCUGAAGCAAAGGCACCUGAAAACCCUUAGACUUGAGCUCAGAGGAUCUGACCUCUGGGUUUCCUUGCAGGAACUUAAAGCCUUGCAGUUUACACCAGUGAUAUUUUGAGGCAAAAGUGCAGAAUCUAAUCAGACUAACACCUAGAAAGGGAAGGGAGGAAGGCACUACAUCCAGGUUUUGUCCCCAGGACAGGACACUAACUGGCUCAAAGACCAACGUUAUAAAGGACCUUGUGCUUAGAGGAGGGACAGUGCAGUACUAGUUUUGUACAACAGCUUUCAGAAACAAGAUCCCAGCAGUAAAAUGGGAAGUAUCUGAAGAAAGACAUGUUGAUGCAGACAGAAAGGUGGACUAAAGCGUUUUUAAAGCCUGGGCAAUAGCUUACACUGAAAGCAGCAAGCAUUGCAGACCCAGUUUCCUAAUUGUGGUGAGGUUAAGUUAGUGUGUCUGGUUGGCAGCUGAGUGAGUCCUGACAAGCCCUGUUGAGCUAAAAUCACAGUGUCCUUCCAGCAGUUUCUAAGCAAGGGUAACUUCUCAAGCAGCCACAGAACUGUUUUCCCUUAAUGAGGAAAGGUGUGCAUGUAGGAAGGAAGCAGGGCAGUCUGUCAUCGUCCCAGUAGGUGUUUCAGGGUAGGCAGUGCCAAGCCCAGGACUAAAGCUGAAACAGGAACAACAACAGCAAAAAAAAGUGCAAGGAAAAAACAAAACUGAAAAAAAAAACCAUGUACAGAACAAGAGGGAGCGUCAGAGAACAGAUCUCCGCAUCCUCGGCUCCCUUAGAAAACAGCAGUCUCCUGUGCUGACUCCACCAGUGUAACAGCUUUUGCAUGGCUCACUCAUCCAUCCCCUCUAAAAGCAGCAGCUGUCAAGAUGGACAGAAGAGCUCCAUGCAGAACAUGACGGUAAAGGUUGUCUUUGCUAAUCGGUCACCACACUAAAAGGAGGAGGCACCUCUUUGGGAUAUCUUUUCUAGGAGAGCCCAGAGGAAUAAGCCAGACCUGAGCUCUGAUUUCCAGCAUAAAGAAUUUCAACACUGAACUAUUUAAAAUAUCUAAAAACCAAAAGCCAUCUGAAAACAAUCUUUCAGCUGUGUGCAAGUCAGAGCCCCCUCGUUUGUCAGCAGAUUGUCUGGGACCAAGUCCUCAAGGCCUUCUCCUCUGGGAAGUUCAGCCUACCAGGCAGAGGCAGCCCGGCUGCCUAGUAGCUGUAGAGUGAGAGGGGGGUAUCCUCCAUCAUGUCAUCCUGGAAACAGAGAAGAAUAUGUUUUAGUGGGACAUCUGCAUGAUGUACGGCCCCAGCCUCACCAUCCCCACUGUCACAGCACAGCCAUUUGCCCAACUGUCAACAUCACCCCUUUGUAAUGGAUCUUUGGACACUCGCUCUCCUGUUCUGUGUGUUUUGGAGAGAAGAAAGAGAACUGCCCAGCAGCAGAAAGCCAGAAGCAAGGCAGUGCUGAGGCAUCGCUCACCAUGGGCAGGUCCUGCAGGCGUCGGAACUCCAUGCGGCUGUUGUGCUGGCGGUAUCUCAGGAAGCCCACCAAGCCCAGGAUGCCCACCAUGACGAUGAAGACAGAGAUCACUGCGAUUACCAAGGGGUCAGCCCUCAUUGCAGGAGAACCUGGGAGCUCUACAAGGGAAUGGGGCCAAAUGAGAGUCUUCACAGUUGUUCUGCUCAGUACAACCGAGAAGAAAUUUGAGGUACCCCCAACCUGCUGUGUUUUGCAAGAACAGGGACAAGUGCAGAGCAUUACCUGGAUUUUCAUCAUCACCAACAUCCAACACAGAAGCUUUUUCAUGCAUGGGUUCCAAUUGCUGCCCCACUGGAGAUGUGCUGGUGGGGUUGGCAGCUGUGCUGGUGGCAGGAGGGCUGGUCAUGGGGAGUCUCAUCAUAACAGUACUGGAGGUGCUGGCAGGAGAUGUGCUCCCUACAGUGGAAAUGGGAGCAGAGGGCUCCACCUCCGUGGCCACUGUAGGGCUCGUUUCUGGCCUGGUGUCAGCUCUUGCUGCUGUGGACCCAGUGUUCUGCCCAUCGGUUGGCUCCAACUGAGAUCUGUUGGUUGUUGCUGCAAAAUAGGAACAAACAAUUAUUUCAAAGGAUAAAGUGGAAGUGUGUUGUGCUGUGGGACUGGACAAGGUGGAAGUAAGGUUGUAGAGAAGACAUUGGGAGACUAUAGGAAUAGCAGCUUACUGACAACCCUAUGGGUUAGCAAGAGUGUCCUAUAGCACAGGCACAGCUGAGCCACACUGUAAGGCAUGGUGCUAGAAAGCCCACUUAUUUUUCAUAUGUAGCCUUCACUGCAAACAGUCAACAUCCAAGCAAACAGCCAACAGAUUUAAUGCCAUGACUAAUGGGAUUUUCAGGGCGGAUGCUGAACUUAGAGCACCUGUAACUCGGUACCCCAUCUCCAGUUCUUACAAGAGUUCAUGGGAGUAGAGCCAUUCAGCACCCAGAGUUCCCAGGCUGUGCAGUCAUGAAAGGCAGAACCUCACCUGGCACACUGUUUGGAGGAGGUGUUGGGGUGGCACUGCUGACAUUGUCUAUUUCUUCAGUUGCAAUGAAGGGCUCUGUGACUUUGUGGUCAGACGGGCUUUUUUCCAGAGCACUCACAGUUGAGGCAGGGGAGGGGAUUUCAGUGCUGUUAGCUGACAAGCUCAUGUUGUGCUGCUCACGCUGUAUGUCUGUGAUGCCUGUGGGGCUGGCAGCAGUGGAAGUCUGCAGUCUUUCUGUCUCGGUACCGACCAUGGGGGUGGCAGAGAUGAAGGCAUCCUCCACCUCUGCAGGGUGAACUCCAGUGGCAUUGAGUGCUGCAGCAGUCACGUUUAUCUCCAAGCUCGUCUCUGGAACAGCAGUAGUGUCUGGGCUAAGGUUAGAGGCUUCCCUGAGCUGAUGAGAGGUUGGCACGGUGUUAAGAAGAGGUGACAGCACCGCAGUCUCUGUUGUCUUCUGUCCCUCUCCUACAGAAGAGAGUAAUGAAGUGCUGAAAAAUGUUUCAGAAAUCCCACACUGAGAUGAAACAGAAGGACAGGCCAGGAGCUGAACCUACCCAGCCUGGUAACUCCAAAUCCAGCACAAGUUCACACCUGGAGGAAAGGUUUGAAUAACUUCCUCCUACCACCUCAGCUAAAUCACUAUUUGCCCUGGCCAGAGGAAUUGUACCUCGUGUGAGCAGAGCUGUACAGAAGCUGGUGGGAUACUUUGGCAGUUGCCUUCAUGAGCUAUUUAUGAGCACAUCAUCACCAUCGAGUGUGACUGCUGUCAUAGGAAUGGAGAGCCACUCCACCUCCUGUUGGUGCAGACAGGGCUGUGAGCAGGACCCCCCCCUUGGAUGCGCUCAGCAGUUUGACAGCAAAGCCCUCACAGUGCCAGCUGACAAACAUGGAUCCUGUUUGGGUUUCUGAAGGGUGUAAACAGAAAACACAAAAAAAACAAACAACAGAGAAAUGUUGCCACACCAGGUUGGACUCUCCAGAGCAUUUGGAAACACUGCAUGGUCAGUAUUUUUGCUAUUUCUAUUCCAGAUUUCUACCUAAGCCCCAGAGGCAUGACAGCCAACCGCAGGAGAAAAGUGCUAAAGAAAAUCUCACUGUGUCCAUUCUGUCCAUAGUGGAGGCACCCAGGGAGGUGCCUUAGCCAAGAAACAUUCACCCACCAGCAAAGCAGCCCACUCUGGUACAAAGGCUUAGGUGAAAAACUCAGCAGUAUUUAGAAUGGAUACAGUUAUCAAAGCUCUUCUCCAGCUCCAGCACUUACCAGGGCCUAAAAAAAGACACAAUACUUCUCUCUCCAGAGCCCUUCGCAGUACCCCAACCAGCUGCAGGAUUCCAAACCCCAGAGCUGAGUGACAGAGCCAUGAUUCCCUAUCCCAGGGCCCCAGUCCCACGAGAGCAACAAGCAGCUCAGCCCAGCACGGCACAUUCAGAGAGUGAGCUCUCAAGAGGAGCCCGGAGCAACUUAAAGACCAGAAGCUUAAGAACUUCUCCCUUCUAUGUGUCCAGGACCUGGCUGGCUGUGGCCAGAACGUGCUAUGCAGUGUGCUACCAACCCCGCAGCUCCAGAGCCCUCUCUGGGCAGUGAAGGAUCUCAGCUGGGCAGAGGCGGGUGCUCCAUAAAUACGCCUCUACCUGCCCCUAUGCAGCAACACACACAGAGCUGCGCUGUUGUUGCAGGAUAAACAGGAAAGGCGGUGGCCAGGUGCCCGGCCAGCAGCAAGCCUGGUGAUGUGCUGCUCUGAAUAGCUGGCCUGUGCUGGGGCUGCCUCCCAUGGGGUUGUAAGCUGUGACUGGGGUAACGCAGGGAGAAGAUUUUGGGGAAGCUUGAAGAGCUGAGCAGCACUGAAAUGUUUGUGCCACUUUUUGGCUAAAAAUGGAAAACCAGAGAGAAGCAGAGCGAGCCUUGCAGAAGAGCCGACCUCCCUGCCUAGGGGUGCAGCAGGGCAGGGAGGUUUGUAGGGGGAAGCAGCUCCCCUCACUCCACUAAUGCUGUUCUUCUGGCAGAGAUGUUAAAAUUGGCAAGUUUGGGACAGGUUGGGCAGGGUAACCCACCAAGGGGCCUUUGAGCACCGCAGUAGAUGGCACCUGAUUAGCGUGUCACUGAGCCCAGCAUCCCAGCUCAGGAAACAAAGGAGAGCCGGGAAUGAGGGAAAGCCCCAGCGGAGCUCAAACAAAAGCUCCAGCCAUUAGGAGGUGAUGGUGAGAAGAUGGAGAACAAGGCCAGACCCAUAGGAUGGACAAAGAAAUGGACAGUGAGUAAAUGCCGAUCGCUCCCGGGCAGGCAGACAAAAGAUCCCCAUCCCAGGAAUGGGGGCACACCCAGAGCCAUCAGCCCGGCCUCGAGGGGGCCAGGGGAGGACCCUCGUGCGGUCUGCAUCAGCUCUGGGUGCUGAAGAGCAUAAGUACCAAUAGGUUUUCCUUCAGCUUUAGAAUAUAAACGCCCCACCACGGUUCGCAUUAAGAUGUGCUCAGUUUCUGCUUUGAUUUCCAGUUUUGUCCUGACAGUGGGCACCAGCGGCUGCAAGCCCUGCAGAGCAGAGGGGCAGAGGCUGGCCCUGCAUCUCUGGUACCCUACAGCUCUGAAAAUCUCGGCCUUCUGCCCAGAUGCUGCUGCUCCAUCGCUGAGCAAUGAUGACUUCAGCUAAUUAUCAGCUACUUGCAGAGGUGCAGGUUGGAGCUCAUCACUCUGGCAUCCUCCUGGAGCAGCUCUGCUUCCUGCACCAGGUGCCAGGGAGGCUGUGGCAGCACUGCCUGAGGCAUCGUCCUCUCCAGCUCCUGUAGACAGGAGGAAACCAGGCCCCUCUGCCUCAGGAAGGAAAGAAAGGGGAGGACUCAGAGAGCAUGCUGCACCUUCCAAGGCACAACAGUGGUCACCCUUGGAUCAUAACAAAGCAACAACGGCCAUGGUGCAAGUGAAGGAGCCAGGCCAGCUGCCGGCUCACUGGGAAACAACAAUUUCAGAGCAUGCCGGGGCAGGGCAGCAGGGUGUGCAGCUCCCAGCAGACAUCGCUGACUGCAGUGACCUCUGUCUGGGAAACGGGGGGAAGGAAGAGAGCAGCCUUUGGGAAGGAGGGAUGCAGCUGGAUGAGAAGCCCCUGUGUUGGAUGAGAGUGGGAUACUCUUCCCACUUGUGGGGAAGGGGAGGCUCCAGGCAUCGCUGAUGGACCCCCACACAUCAGCCUGCGCUCCCACCAGCUCUGGAGCAGACGUGGUAUAAAUAUGCCAGAGUGAAGGAAGCCAGCUCUGCAGGAGACGGGGCUGUUCCUGCUGUGUUCUCCCUGCCCAGGCUGCAGGGCUGGGGCCAAGCGAGGGGCUGCAUUAGGUCUGUACAUGGAUGUACAGUGUCCUCUGCACCCUCCUUCCUAUCUCAGCCAGAAACAGCAGCUCUCCAGGAGCCAAAGCAAAUCUGACCCCAGUUCACCAUCAUUUCCAAAAUCCCUUUUGUAGUAAACCUGGGCUGAGAGGUACCAGAGCCACAUGCUGUAGGGGAGCAUAGCACAGGGUGCAGCCUGCAGCCUCUGCUGCAAGAGACUCACAAGGCCCCUCAAGAGCUGAGCACAAAGAAGGAAAAGGGUCCAUCCAGGAUUUUGCAGGGUGCUGUAGCAUUAGGGAUCCCUGGUGCCUGCAAUGGCUCCCACACGGUACAUCACAGCCUGCACUCACUCCCUGCAACCCGCUGCCUGCUGAGCACAUCCAGCUGCCCCUCCCCAAGUGCUAUUUUGGUGCCCUAACUGAACCCAGUUCCCAUUGAAGUGUAACAACUCACAAACAAUGCAGCGGAAAACAAAACUAAUACCAUGUUUUAAAAGUAACCUGUGUCUAUCUCAGCAAUUACAUCCUCUUCCUUAGCAAAGUAGGUGGAGAAAUUCUCUUUUGUUGCCGGCUAUUAUAUUUUGAUGGUUACCAACCAAAGGUAAUUAGAAAAACCUCUUCAAGGAAAGAGAGCUGAAGUAUGAAUGCAAAUAAAGCCAGACAGUGGGAUUUAAACCCAAGGCUCUCCAUUUCACUGUGAGGCAGAGCUGGAAUAGCAGCCAGCCCUGACCUUCACGCUGUAACUCAGAGCCCAGAAUUAAAGAACCUGAAUGGCAGAGGUUUCAGGUAGGGCAAUGGAGAUGCUAUAGAGCAAACCCCCCAACUGCUUUGAGAUCCCAGUCCCAGCCCGAUACCUCGUGGGACCUCAAUGGAGGUGGGAUGCCACAAGGGCUGAUUCCAGGACUGUCCCUGUGCCCAUCCUGGCAGACAGGGGCUGAACAGGCUCUAUCUGCUGCCAGAGAUCCAGGUAUGAGCAGUGAACCAAGAGCUGAAGCACAGGUGUCAAGUGCCCAGUGCAGCUUUGGGAACCAGCCAGGCACACUGCAAAGGGCUGCAGUAAGAGACAGGAAUAGAAAUAUCUCCUGACCCAGGAGCUCCUUGCAGCACAACAGGGCAGGAGGCCUCGAGCUGAGCACGGGACGGGGCUCCGAUUAGAUACGGGGCAUUGAGCAAGUACAGUGCUGGCAAAAGACAGCCCAGGGCCCAACCUGCCCAGGCAGGCAGCGGGACACCUCCCCAGGGUGGUGCAGAUGCUGGGCCUCAGGUGUGAGCCCCAGGGGAGCAAAAUGGGGGAGCAGAAAUAUAUCAGUGCCACCACCUUGUUUGGUGGCACUGCAUUGGAAUAGGUGGCAGAGCGAGUUGUGAGCAGAAAGGAGCAGCCCUGGAAACAGUGCUGUGAAUGCCAAGCAUGGGCUCUUCCACACCAGGAGAAGGCAAAGAACAGCACAGACACGCCUGGGGCAGGCGGCGGUGCUGGGAGGUGUGGGGGAUAUGUGGGAGCACCCAUCGGCUGGACCCAGCAGCCCAGGAGUGCACACAUCGUGCCAGGAUGGGGAGACAUGCAUGAAAUCAUGCUACAGGUCUGCAUGGAGCUUUUCCUCUGCUCCCUCAUUCAAAGAGGAGGGUUUAGCCCAUGCUGUCUGCAUGGCCGCAGCCACCUCUCCAGGCAGUUAUUUUUCUCAGGCUGCAUGCAGAUGCACAGCACGCUGCCUGGCAGGGAGGUGCCCAUUCUCCCACGCUGUUCAGUUUGUGCCUCCAUUGAGUACUGAGCUGUGAUGAAGACACUCUGCCCAGAGACUGCUCAGAGAUUUGGGGACACACAUGAUUGUCAGAGCCUCGUCUGGGUCUGCACUAACACCAGUAACCACCACAGCAGUAGGAGAUCUGGCAUCAACCAGCCCCAGCCAUGAUUACCACAGCAAGCCACAGCUGUAGGGGAGGAAGCACUCAUGUCAUUAGGAGAGAAUUAAUUAGCCAGUUGCCUUAACAGUGGCCCCAUGUCAGCAGGGAAGCCAGGCGGUGUGGAGUGAGCUGGAGGAGCCUGGACACCAGGAAUCCUGCCCUGCCCCAGGACCUUCCUGGCUCUGAGGCUGAUGGUGCUGGAGGAAGUGGAUUUCCACAGGCAGUGAAGAAAGGCUGCAUUGAGAGCUGGGGUGGGCAGAGUGCAGGGGAUGCAGCAGUUUGGACCCACAGCGAACAGAGUGGGGCCAGCGAGGAGCAGCACCGGGCACAGGGCAGAGAUGCAUCUGCAGUGCUGGGAUGAGCCCAGU
This is a non-coding RNA of Coturnix japonica (Japanese quail), 11690 nucleotides long. Lineage: Eukaryota; Metazoa; Chordata; Aves; Galliformes; Phasianidae. The record is from RefSeq and is a predicted model, not a curated record.